Molecule: long non-coding RNA, 576 nt
Organism: Mesocricetus auratus (golden hamster)
Lineage: Eukaryota; Metazoa; Chordata; Mammalia; Rodentia; Cricetidae
Exons: 3
Source: RefSeq, a predicted model, not a curated record
AGGCCCUGGGUGUGGUAGCCUUUCCUGCUUGGGCCAGUAGUGUCUCGGCCUGGGUCUCUCUUUCCCACUUCCACCCAAAUGGUGACACCAUUCGGAACCAGAGUGAGACCCGGACGUGGGACACACUUGGGUGCAGGACAUUUUCCUCCUGUUAUGGCUCGGGAAAUGUCCCCCACAGGUUUCUGUUUUGAAGGUUCCCCUGGGAAGAGGGAAAGAGGGGAAGGGCCCCUCCACAGCCUCCCCCCAGUCAUGGCAGAGACACAACUACUUGGAAAUAAUGAAAGGCCAUCCUGGCUCCAUCAAGAUUGUAACCUUUCCUCAUUGUGACUGGAGAAUCCUGAGACUCCAAUGUCUUCCUAUCCUCAUUGUGGCUGGAGAAUGAAUCCCGGAUACCGACUUCUGAAGACCCUGCUCCUAUCUUUUAUACUCCUCUAGUGCUGGGAUUAAAGGUGUGUGAUCCCAGGUAUUGAGAGCAUCUUUGUAUGAGCAAUCUUGUGCGGAUCUGGGUGACCCUGGACUCACAGAGAUCUACCUCUUAAUCCUGAGUCCUAGGAUAUGUACCACAACCUCCUAGCU